AAUGUGAAAACUAGAGAGAGAGAGAGUAAAAAUGAAAUUCGAACGGGAAAGAGAGUAAAAACCAGAGAGAGUCAGAAGCUUCGUCAUGCAUCUUCUUCGUCAUGUUCGUCUUCUCCCGAAUUUGACCCAAGCUGUCUCCAAGGGUCUGCAUCUUUCGUGCGAGAGCGAAACCAGAGACUGGGAGUGGAUCUUCUCUGUCGUGGGUAUCUCUGAGGUCUGCGUUCAUGCUGGAUGGUGAUAAUGUAGAAGCCACAUUGAGAUACUCAAAUACUACAAGAAAUCCAGGAUGACCCUUCUUAGGGUGUCCAAAGUACAACACAGAGGGAUUGCCGUAUUGUAAGUAUUUCAAGAGGGUAGAUAGUAAUCAAGAGAUUGAGCUCCAAAUUCGAGAAAGAAAUAAUGAACUAUUAAGGAAGGAGAAAGAGCUCGAGAAAAUACUCAACAAUGUGGAAAAGAUGAAGACCGAGCUCUGUAAGAGAGUAGAUGAAAUCGAAAAGAGAGAGAUGGUGGUAUCCAAUAGAGAGAUGGUGCUUCUGGAACAAGAAGCUGGAAUAAGGCAUUCUUCACACACACUACUUCGGGCGUAUUGGACUUUUUCAUUUGUAGUUGCAUGUGACUUGGUAGUAUCUAAGUAAUUGCUGCCUAGUGUUAGUAUCUGAAUAUUGGACUUUGUACUUGAUGUAGUAAGUUCUUAGAUUAUUCCCAAAGUUGGCGCUAACUUGUAAAAUAUUUUGUAUUGGGAUUAUAUAUGUUGUAUAUGCUAUGCUCGGAUAGUUUAAAACAUCAAAUGUGAGACCUUCAUUUUUGACUUAAAC
Carya illinoinensis is the source of this 815-nucleotide long non-coding RNA. RefSeq lists it as uncharacterized. The transcript is spliced from 3 exons. The record is from RefSeq and is a predicted model, not a curated record. NCBI's taxonomy places the organism in Eukaryota, Viridiplantae, Streptophyta, Magnoliopsida, Fagales, Juglandaceae.